RNAcentral lists this ribosomal RNA (408 nucleotides) under Runcina lusitanica. RNAcentral describes it as "partial 16S ribosomal RNA". Lineage: Eukaryota; Metazoa; Mollusca; Gastropoda; Runcinacea; Runcinidae. The record is from RNAcentral.
AGCUUAAAGAAAUAAAUUUUAAGUUUAACCUGCCCUGUGAAUUUUUAACGGCUGCGGUACCUUGACCGUACUAAGGUAGCAUAAUCAAUUGGCUUUUAAAUGGAGUCUGGAAUGAAUGGGAAAUUGGAGUUUUACUUUCUUAGAUAAAUUUUAUUGAACUUACUUUAAAAGUGAAAAAGCUUUUUUAUGAAAAAAGACGAGAAGACCCUUGGAGUUUAAAAUAUUUUUGUUGGGGCGACAUUUAAAAUUUAACUUUUAAAAAUUUAAUUAUCAACUUUUAGUUAUAAUUUAUAAACUACCCAAGGGAUAACAGCAUAAUUCUUUUUGAGAUUGUGACCUCGAUGUUGGACUAGGAAAAAUAAUAACUAGUAGCUAUUAUUUUAUGUUCUGUUCGAACUUUAUUAUCCU